This is a long non-coding RNA of Magnolia sinica, 668 nucleotides long. RefSeq lists it as uncharacterized. The record is from RefSeq and is a predicted model, not a curated record. Lineage: Eukaryota; Viridiplantae; Streptophyta; Magnoliopsida; Magnoliales; Magnoliaceae. The transcript has 4 exons.
AUCAGGCAUCGGUUCAGAUUGUGUGAUUCUCUCUUCUGAUGAAGAAAUUUCCGUUUCUUGUUCUUAUAUGUGAUGGGUGUUUCUCUCUGCCUGUUUAUUCCCUCAGGUGGAUGUUUGUCUGAGUGAUGGAACCCUAGCUAGGGCUGCUGUUCCGAGUGGGGCCUUGACAGUGUUACUAUGACACUUCCAAGGCAAUAGAUGAGUUCGUUCAGAAAAUACUACUGACAGGACUGGAGCCUGGAGCUAUUGAUAUGUUUCUUGAUUUCAUUUGCUACUCAGGUGGUCCUCUACCUAAUGAACUGCUCACCCAAGUUAAGGGAGUUCAUGUUUCAGAGGACUUUGUUGCCAAGCAAUUGAGGUCCAUGCUUUCUGAUAUGUAGGUUAAUGUGGUUGCAGUCGAAUAUGACAUUGAGCAUGCAACAAGAAGAUAGAUUGAAGCAGAUGGGUGCGACAGUGAGGAACAUUUGUUUGUAACUAGAAAGACUGAAGAUGAAUGAGCAGAGGGAAAUGUUAGCAAAGAUUGCAGUGGGGAAAAUGUCUAUAGAGCAGUUAUCUGAUCUGCUGUCAAGAUCUGCAGCACAAGGCAGCUCUCAAACUUGUGUGGAAAGCAAUAGGAAGCAGAACUUUGUUUAGUGUUAUUUGUGUCUAUUUUGUUAGUUUAAAUAGAC